UACGUAGGGGGCUAGCGUUGCUCGGAUUUACUGGGCGUAAAGCGCAUGUAGGCGGCCUCUUAAGUCGGGGGUGAAAUCUCGAGGCUCAACCGCGAAGUUGCAUCAGAUACUGGCGGGCUCGAGGAGAAGAGAGGCGAUCGGAAUUCCCGGUGUAGAGGUGAAAUUCAUUGAUAUUCGGAGGAACACCAGUGGCGAAGGCGGAUCUCUGGCUUCUUGCUGACGCUGAGAUGCGACAGCGGGGGGAGCGAACGGG
Molecule: ribosomal RNA, 253 nt
Filed under: uncultured bacterium
Lineage: Bacteria
Description: partial 16S ribosomal RNA
Rfam family: Bacterial small subunit ribosomal RNA
Source: RNAcentral